AGAAUAGUAUUAAAUACAUAUAGGAAAUUUGUAUUCAAAUAUAAUCAUAGAAUUUUGAAUUACAUAUUAUAGAAAAAAUAUUCCUGAUAGCUAGAUGGUAUGGUAUUUAAGGUAUAGCAGUUAGUUUUAGUUCAACCGGGGAACUAACGUUCUAUUUCAAUAAAAAGUAAAAUUCUCAAGAGUACAAGAUGUUUUUUGUUAAAAUGAUUAACAGUUAGGCUCUAAGAUCAGCAACAGGUGAAAGACAUUUCCUGCUGGCGUUUCAACGAUAAUCUUUUUGAUUCACCCUAAGAAAAAGUUUUACCAUGAUCGCUAUUCAAAGUACUUUUUUCGCAGUUUGGUUUUUUAAGGGAAACCUGACAGCACUUCCUACUUUUUAUGCAAAGACCAGAAGAGUGUUUUUGGUGGAGGGUUACUCUCAUUGCAUAUUUUUGUAUUUUUCGACGCGGCUAGGUUCUGUUACACUAACAACACCUGUGUCUGUGUGUUGUUGCAGAGUAUGUUUCCGCACAUCUCAUUUGGGGCACAAAGAAGUGACGUGCGGUUGGUUGUAGGUGCUUGGCAGAGACAGAGUCGGAGCAGUGUGGCAGGCGGUCAAGCGUGCUUCCCGCACGCAGAUACUUGGAUUCGUUCUACCCCCAAAGCGAGCACAACGUGUGGGGCAUGACGACGGUGACGCAUGGAAUUGAAAUAGAAAGAGGCACCUAGAAGCGUGUUUUUUUGUUUUCCAGAAUUUGUUAUUAUGGUGGCUAGAAUUUACGAGUUUAACAAUAAAGGUGUACAACAAAAUUUUGGAUGCUACAGAGUCAAGUUCGAAUUGUUGUUCAAUUGCUGUUCAGCUGCUGGGCCUGCAGCAGAUCUUUGAGAUCGCGUUUUGAUGGCUCGCCGCACUCGAAUCGAUGAUAGUCAACGAUGUCAACGCCGCGCUCUUUGAGCACUUCGCCCACCGUCUUAUCGGCAUCCAGUAGAUAUUCCUGAUAAAUGAGACACGUCUCAUCGUCUUUAUUCUCCGCCGGCUUAUCCUUGCCAUAUUCGCCAAUUUUAAUGGGUUUCAUUCCCACAAUUUGCUGACAAAUUCCCUUUUGCACUUCCAGAUCAUCAAAGU
Molecule: long non-coding RNA, 1105 nt
Organism: Drosophila sulfurigaster albostrigata
Lineage: Eukaryota; Metazoa; Arthropoda; Insecta; Diptera; Drosophilidae
Exons: 2
Source: RefSeq, a predicted model, not a curated record